Molecule: ribosomal RNA, 461 nt
Filed under: uncultured bacterium
Lineage: Bacteria
Description: partial 16S ribosomal RNA
Rfam family: Bacterial small subunit ribosomal RNA
Source: RNAcentral
CCUACGGGGGGCAGCAGUGAGGAAUAUUGGUCAAUGGGCGGGAGCCUGAACCAGCCAAGUCGCGUGAGGGAAGACGGUCCUAUGGAUUGUAAACCUCUUUAGGCGGGGAGCAAUGCCGGGCACGCGUGCCCGGAGGGAGAGUACCCGCAGAAUAAGCAUCGGCUAACUACGUGCCAGCAGCCGCGGUAAUACGUAGGGGGCAAGCGUUAUCCGGAUUUACUGGGUGUAAAGGGAGCGUAGACGGUCCUGCAAGCCAGAUGUGAAAGCCCGGGGCUCAACCCCGGGACUGCAUGUGGAACUGUAAGGCUAGAGUGUCGGAGAGGCAGGCGGAAUUCCUAGUGUAGCGGUGAAAUGCGUAGAUAUCAGGAGGAACACCGGUGGCGAAGGCGGCCUGCUGGACUGCAACUGACGUUGAGGCCCGAAAGCGUGGGGAGCAAACAGGAUUAGAUACCCCUGUAGUC